Molecule: ribosomal RNA, 304 nt
Filed under: uncultured bacterium
Lineage: Bacteria
Description: partial 16S ribosomal RNA
Rfam family: Bacterial small subunit ribosomal RNA
Source: RNAcentral
CAGCAGUAGCCGCGGUAAUACAGAGUGUGCGAGCGUUAAUCGGAUUUACUGGGCGUAAAGCGUGCGUAGGCGGCUUUUUAAGUCGGAUGUGAAAUCCCUGAGCUUAACUUAGGAAUUGCAUUCGAUACUGGGAAGCUAGAGUAUGGGAGAGGAUGGUAGAAUUCCAGGUGUAGCGGUGAAAUGCGUAGAGAUCUGGAGGAAUACCGAUGGCGAAGGCAGCCAUCUGGCCUAAUACUGACGCUGAGGUACGAAAGCAUGGGGAGCAAACAGGAUUAGAUACCCCAGUAGUCCCUGUCUCUUAUAC